This 502-nucleotide ribosomal RNA is filed under the name uncultured bacterium. Its description in RNAcentral is "bacterial SSU rRNA". It matches the Rfam family "Bacterial small subunit ribosomal RNA", at positions 791 to 1285 of the family's 1533-position model. The record is from RNAcentral.
UAGUCCACGCCGUAAACGAUGUGCACUAGGUCGAGGAGGUUCUGACACCAUUCUUGGCCGAAGCGAAAGUGUUAAGUGCACCGCCUGGGGAGUACGGUCGCAAGGCUAAAACUCAAAGGAAUUGACGGGGGCUCACACAAGCGGUGGAGCAUGUGGCUUAAUUCGAAGCAACGCGAAGAACCUUAUCCUGGGUUUGACAUGCAUGGAUUAACUCCCUGAAAGGGGAGCCACGCCUUCGGGUGGAACAUGCACAGGUGCUGCAUGGCUGUCGUCAGCUCGUGCUGUGAAGUGUCGGGUUAAGUCCCUUAACGAGCGAAACCCCUGUCGUUAGUUGCUAACACGUAAUGGUGAGGACUCUAGCGAGACUGCCGGCGUCAAGUCGGAGGAAGGUGGGGAUGACGUCAAGUCCGCAUGGCCUUUAUGCCCAGGGCUGCACACGUGCUACAAUGGCGGGUACAAAGCGACGCGAGACCGCAAGGUGGAGCAAAUCGCAAAAAGCUCG